ACUUUCAACAACGGAUCUCUUGGCUCUCGCAUCGAUGAAGAACGCAGCGAAGUGCGAUAAGUAAUGUGAAUUGCAGAAUUCCGUGAGUCAUCGAAUCUUUGAACGCAAAUUGCACUUCCUGGCAUUCCGGGGAGUAUGCCUGUUUGAGGGUCAGU
RNAcentral lists this ribosomal RNA (155 nucleotides) under uncultured Glomus. RNAcentral describes it as "5.8S ribosomal RNA". It matches the Rfam family "5.8S ribosomal RNA". From Rfam's summary of the family: 5.8S ribosomal RNA (5.8S rRNA) is a component of the large subunit of the eukaryotic ribosome. It is transcribed by RNA polymerase I as part of the 45S precursor that also contains 18S and 28S rRNA. Functionally, it is thought that 5.8S rRNA may be involved in ribosome translocation. Lineage: Eukaryota; Fungi; Glomeromycota; Glomeromycetes; Glomerales; Glomeraceae. The record is from RNAcentral.